This 1459-nucleotide ribosomal RNA is filed under the name metagenome. Its description in RNAcentral is "bacterial SSU rRNA". It matches the Rfam family "Bacterial small subunit ribosomal RNA". The record is from RNAcentral.
AGAGUUUGAUCCUGGCUCAGGAUGAACGCUAGCUACAGGCUUAACACAUGCAAGUCGAGGGGAAACGACAUCGAAAGCUUGCUUUUGAUGGGCGUCGACCGGCGCACGGGUGAGUAACGCGUAUCCAACCUGCCCACCACUUGGGGAUAACCUUGCGAAAGUAAGACUAAUACCCAAUGAUAUCUCUAGAAGACAUCUGAAAGAGAUUAAAGAUUUAUCGGUGAUGGAUGGGGAUGCGUCUGAUUAGCUUGUUGGCGGGGUAACGGCCCACCAAGGCAACGAUCAGUAGGGGUUCUGAGAGGAAGGUCCCCCACAUUGGAACUGAGACACGGUCCAAACUCCUACGGGAGGCAGCAGUGAGGAAUAUUGGUCAAUGGGCGAGAGCCUGAACCAGCCAAGUAGCGUGCAGGAAGACGGCCCUAUGGGUUGUAAACUGCUUUUAUAAGGGAAUAAAGUGAGUCUCGUGAGACUUUUUGCAUGUACCUUAUGAAUAAGGAUCGGCUAAUUCCGUGCCAGCAGCCGCGGUAAUACGGAAGGUCCGGGCGUUAUCCGGAUUUAUUGGGUUUAAAGGGAGCGUAGGCCGGAGAUUAAGCGUGUUGUGAAAUGUAGACGCUCAACGUCUGCACUGCAGCGCGAACUGGUUUCCUUGAGUACGCACAAAGUGGGCGGAAUUCGUGGUGUAGCGGUGAAAUGCUUAGAUAUCACGAAGAACUCCGAUUGCGAAGGCAGCUCACUGGGCUUUUACUGACGCUGAGGCUCGAAAGCGUGGGGAGCAAACAGGAUUAGAUACCCUGGUAGUCCACGCUGUAAACGAUGAUUACUAGGUGUGGGGGGACUGACCCCUUCCGUGCCGCAGUUAACACAAUAAGUAAUCCACCUGGGGAGUACGGCCGCAAGGUUGAAACUCAAAGGAAUUGACGGGGGCCCGCACAAGCAGUGGAGUAUGUGGUUUAAUUCGAAGCAACGCGAAGAACCUUACCAGGUCUUGACAUCGAGUGCAUAACUAAGAGAUUAGUGAAAUCCCUUCGGGGACACUUAGACAGGUGGUGCAUGGUUGUCGUCAGCUCGUGUCGUGAGAUGUUGGGUUAAGUCCCGCAACGAGCGCAACCCUUACCUUUAGUUGCUACGCAAGAGCACUCUAAAGGGACUGCCGUUGACAAAACGGAGGAAGGUGGGGAUGACGUCAAAUCAUCAUGCCCCUUAUGACCUGGGCUACACACGUACUACAAUGGCAAUCAACAAAGAGAAGCAAGACAGUGAUGUGGAGCAAAUCUCAAAAAAUUGUCCCAGUUCAGAUUGUAGGCUGCAACUCGCCUACAUGAAGUCGGAAUUGCUAGUAAUCGCGGAUCAGAAUGCCGCGGUGAAUACGUUCCCGGGCCUUGUACACACCGCCCGUCACACCAUGGGAGUCGGUAACACCCGAAGUCGGUAGUCUAACAGCAAUGAGGACGCCGCCGAA